CUUAAUUCUCAGGGCGGGGUGAAAUUCCCCACCGGCGGUGAUUCUUUAAGAUUUAAAGACAGCCCGCGAGCGCCUUUUCAAUCGGUGAAAAGGGACAGCAGAUCCGGUGAGACUCCGGAGCCGACGGUUAAAGUCCGGAUGAAAGAGAAUGAGA
RNAcentral lists this non-coding RNA (154 nucleotides) under Maridesulfovibrio salexigens. RNAcentral describes it as "Desulfovibrio salexigens FMN sequence". It matches the Rfam family "FMN riboswitch aptamer (RFN element)". From Rfam's summary of the family: The RFN element is a highly conserved domain that is found frequently in the 5'-untranslated regions of prokaryotic mRNAs that encode for flavin mononucleotide (FMN) biosynthesis and transport proteins. This element is a metabolite-dependent riboswitch that directly binds FMN in the absence of proteins. Lineage: Bacteria; Pseudomonadati; Thermodesulfobacteriota; Desulfovibrionia; Desulfovibrionales; Desulfovibrionaceae. The record is from RNAcentral. RNAcentral also lists the same sequence under 1 other name.